GCCUAACCUUCUGGGAAUGUAGCCCAGUAGAUCUCAGCCUUGUUUUACCCAGCCCCUAUUCAAGAUGGAGUCACUCUGGUUCAAACACCUCUGACAAAAAUCCUUCUAAAAAUUUUUAAUAUACAAAUUGAGAUCUUCUAAUAUUUUUCUAUUACUGUGGUAUAUCACUUCUUUCCCUUUGUGCACCCUACUUAAAAUUUCAACUCACUCAGAAGAUACAGGAGCUGACUGUCGCUGUGGCUGUGCUGUAUCGGAACACUGCCUACCUUAAGGAAAGAACUUUGGAGGUCUCAGGCUUUGAAUUUUAUUUCCUGUAGUUUUUUCUCUCUGAAAUCUUAUAUAGGCUUUUCCUGAGUAAGGGUCAUUUUCACUUAGCUUUUUGAUGGUAUAAUGGACUGAAUGUUUGUGUCCCCCUUCCAAGUUCAAAUGUUGAAGGCCAAACCCUCCUUGUGGCUGUACUUGGAGAUGGGGGCCUCUUAGGAAGCAAUUAAGGUUGGAUGAGGUCCUUAGGGUGGGGCCCUGAUAGGAUUAGCGUCUGUAUAAAAAGAGACACCUGAGAGCUUCGCCCUGCUAGGAUUAGCGUCUGUAUAAAGAGAGACACCUGAGAGCUUCGCCCUGCUAGGAUUAGCGUCUGUAUAAAGAGAGACACCUGAGAGCUUCGCCCUGCUAGGAUUAGCGUCUGUAUAAAGAGAGACACCUGAGAGCUUCGCCCUGCUAGGAUUAGCGUCUGUAUAAAGAGAGACACCUGAGAGCUUCGCCUACACGCUUCCCCACUGAGGGAAGACCAUGUGACUAUACAACAGGAAGGUAGUUGUUUACAAGCCAGGAAGAGAGCCCUCACCAGAAACCAAAUUGGCUGGCGCCUUGAUCAUGGACUCCUGGGCUCCGGAACUGUAAGAAAAUUUGUGUUGUGGAAGCCACCCAGCCCAUGGUAUUUCGUUAUGGCAGCCUGAGCAGAGGUGGUAGCUAUGUGGACAGUUUUUGGACUUCUCUAUUGUAACACAGGAGGCAACACAGAUUCUUCAAGUCUCACAGCUACUCCCUAGGGAUCACUGGGGAACUUGGAAAAAAUCUAUUGGCUCAGCUAGUGAGCGAUCACUUCCUGUACCACUGUUCUGAGGGCGGACUUCCAGCUCAGGAUCAUGCGAGGGCAUUUUGUUGCCCUUCAUCACUCAGCAGUGAAGAAUGAAAAUCAACAGAGCUUUCCCCAGCCUGCUGCUUAAGCAGCUGCUAGCAGGCUGAGGCUGCCCAGCCUCAUUAACCCAUUAGAUGCUGCGUUCGCCCGGGAGUCAUUCUUAAUGAGGCUGCUGCAGAUGAGAAAACAGAAGCAAAGGCAGAAAGAUGCUACAUUGCCAGCUUUGAAGAUGGAGGGAAGAGGUCACAAACCAAGGAAGGCAAUGAGGACGUUGCACAAGACAGUCCCUGAUACCCAGAGUUUACUGCCUAAGAGAGGAUACAUCCUUCAAACCAAUAAUCUGCUAAUAGCAAGAUCCAAUAGCUUCAUGGAUAUUGAAAGAAACUGAGAAUCAAAUUUGCAUACUUCUGAGUCACUUGGAAACAAAAAACAAGUACAGUCUUAGAUUCUGAGGGAACAAAAAUUAAAAAUCACAUUAGGAAGAGAAUUCCUAAUGUAGGAACUCAUCCUGGAAGAUUCUUCAGCAAAAGUACAGACAAUAAUAAUAAUACUCCAUGAAGUUACCAUCGAUAUUGAAUGAAUUAAUGAAUGUAAAAACCUCAAAACCCUGCCUGGCCCAGAGCUUUGGAAUGGGUUUGGAUCUACCACUCAACUGCUUUAUGACUUCAGACCAGUUAUUUAAAUUCCCUGAAGCUCAGUUUCCACAUCUUUGAGUUUUUAUUAAUGACCUGCCGACAUCAUACAGUUCAUGAAAUGCUCUGGAUGUGUACAUGCUGAUGAUACGACCUCAGACCCAGCAAGAGCUCAGUGCAGCCCGGAGAGCUGUGAGCAGUGCCACAGGAGGAGAUGACUGGUGAGUGAAAUAAGCAAGAUAGGAGUUGAAGUGUACAUGAAGCAGAGUCCAAGCCUUCUCCUUCUGGAUGUUCAGCUGGAUCAUCCUGACUGCUCCCACUUUCAUCUUGGCUUUCAAAGGCAAGAGGAAAUUAUAAGGAAUAUUCUGAGUGGCUUUCAUCCAGGAGUUCUGUGGGACCCGCAACACCUGGAUGGUAGAUGCAAACAGAUAAAGAAUAUUGGUCACCAAAAGGAGUUCUUUUCAUCAUAGAUCUCUGAAGGUAGACACCUAUUUGCAGACUUCUCAAAGGGCUAUAUGGAUGUGCUCUACUUGUUGGAGGAUUGUCCAUCCACUCUUCUUCCUGUACUUACCAGGACAGAACAGCCGCAACUUCUCAGACAGUUCAUUCUUCUUUUCCUCACCUACUACCAUCUAAGAAAGGUACUUGAUGACUGUGGCUUUAGACAAGAGUCCUUUUCUUACCACAGGGUGGGCAGCACCAGCUCAUUAGAACCAUUUGUGUGACUGACUGAAGACAGCUCACCUUGGAACACUGCAGAAUAUGGCGUAAGUGACAUUUUACAAGUUCCAGAGCCUGGGACUCAAGAUGUCUUGGAGAUUCUGUCUUUGCAGUCUUAUAAUGAUGCCCUGAGAUCAUCAUUAAAGAAAGCCAGUCUGGCCUACUGAGGAUGAGAAGCUACAUAAAGGAGAAUGAAGAUUCCCCAGCCAACAGGCAAUAUCAGUGGUCAGAUAUGUGAAUAAAGCCAUGUUGAACCUCUCGGCUAGACGACCCUCCAGCAUAUGAAACCAGCAGAUGAAUAUCCCAGCCUGCCUGAAGAACUGUACAGGAAAUAAGAAAUCAUUGUUUUUUAAGCCACUGGGUUGGUGGGUGGUUUGUUACAUUGAAAUUGUUAACUAAAACAGAAAUUGGUGCAUAGAGGUCAGGUGCUGUCAUAAUAAAAAUCUAAAACAUAUACUGUUGGCUUUGGUGAUGGGAGUGAUUGGUAGCUAAAGAGGCAGUGAAACAAUGAUUAGUAGAUACUGGGAAGUUAAUAAGGAAAUUUCUAUUGGAGGGUGGAGAAAGGGCCACCCUUGUUAUAUAGUGGCCAAAGAAUCAGCAAAAUGUUGCCUGCUGCAACCUGGAAAGUAGAAACUUUUCUUAAACUCACGGAUCUGGCUGGGAGAUUUCCAGGAUGCAUGCAACAAAUGUGAAUCAACUUUGUAUAGCUGUGUAUAAUAAAGUGUGCUGUAUUUGUCCAUUCUGAUGCUGCUAAUAAAGACAUACCUGAGACUGAAU
This 3264-nucleotide long non-coding RNA is filed under the name Homo sapiens (human). Its description in RNAcentral is "HSALNT0186549". Lineage: Eukaryota; Metazoa; Chordata; Mammalia; Primates; Hominidae. The record is from RNAcentral.